AGUAAAAGUCGUAACAAGGUUUCCGUAGGUGAACCUGCGGAAGGAUCAUUAAAGAGUAAGGGUGCUCAGCGCCCGACCUCCAACCCUUUGUUGUUAAAACUACCUUGUUGCUUUGGCGGGACCGCUCGGUCUCGAGCCGCUGGGGAUUCGUCCCAGGCGAGCGCCCGCCAGAGUUAAACCAAACUCUUGUUAUUAAACCGGUCGUCUGAGUUAUAAUUUUGAAUAAAUCAAAACUUUCAACAACGGAUCUCUUGGUUCUCGCAUCGAUGAAGAACGCAGCGAAAUGCGAUAAGUAAUGUGAAUUGCAGAAUUCAGUGAAUCAUCGAAUCUUUGAACGCACAUUGCGCCCCUUGGUAUUCCGAGGGGCAUGCCUGUUCGAGCGUCAUUACACCACUCAAGCUAUGCUUGGUAUUGGGUGCCGUCCUUCACUGGGCGCGCCUUAAAGACCUCGGCGAGGCCUCACCGGCUUUAGGCGUAGUAGAAUUUAUUCGAACGUCUGUCAAAGGAGAGGACUUCUGCCGACUGAAACCUUUUAUUUUUCUAGGUUGACCUCGGAUCAGGUAGGGAUACCCGCUGAACUUAAGCAUAUCAAUAAGCGGAGGAAAAGAAACCAACAGGGAUUGCCUCAGUAACG
Molecule: ribosomal RNA, 634 nt
Filed under: uncultured fungus
Lineage: Eukaryota; Fungi
Description: eukaryotic LSU rRNA
Rfam family: 5.8S ribosomal RNA (bases 232-385)
Source: RNAcentral